Regulatory RNA element from Paenibacillus sp. FSL H8-0548, 84 nucleotides. It matches the Rfam family "Cyclic di-GMP-II riboswitch aptamer". The record is from Rfam. NCBI's taxonomy places the organism in Bacteria, Bacillati, Bacillota, Bacilli, Caryophanales, Paenibacillaceae.
AACUACCAGGGAAGCGAUGAAAUAUAAUCUGCAUUUGGACACUUGGAUUAUAUGGAGCUAGUAGUGUAACCGGCCCUCUUAGAA